Molecule: ribosomal RNA, 440 nt
Filed under: uncultured bacterium
Lineage: Bacteria
Description: partial 16S ribosomal RNA
Rfam family: Bacterial small subunit ribosomal RNA
Source: RNAcentral
CCUACGGGAGGCAGCAGUGGGGAAUAUUGCACAAUGGGGGAAACCCUGAUGCAGCGACGCCGCGUGAGUGAAGAAGUAUUUCGGUACGUAACGCUCUAUCAGCAGGGAAGAACAUGACGGUACCUGACUAAGAAGCCCCGGCUAAAUACGUGCCAGCAGCCGCGGUAAUACGUAGGGGGCAAGCGUUAUCCGGAUUUACUGGGUGUAAAGGGAGCGUAGACGGCAGCGCAAGUCUGGAGUGAAAUCCCAUGGCUUAACCAUGGAACUGCUUUGGAAACUGUGCAGCUAGAGUGCAGGAGAGGUAAGCGGAAUUCCUAGUGUAGCGGUGAAAUGCGUAGAUAUUAGGAGGAACACCAGUGGCGAAGGCGGCUUACUGGACUGUAACUGACGUUGAGGCUCGAAAGCGUGGGGAGCAAACAGGAUUAGAUACCCUUGUAGUC